GGAUUGUGGCUCAGUGGUAGAGCACUCGCCUAGCAUGUGCGGGGACCUAGGUUCAAUCCUCAGCACCA
This 68-nucleotide transfer RNA is filed under the name Marmota monax (woodchuck). RNAcentral describes it as "tRNA.Ala". The record is from RNAcentral. Lineage: Eukaryota; Metazoa; Chordata; Mammalia; Rodentia; Sciuridae.